UACGAAGGUGGCAAGCGUUACUCGGAAUUACUAGGCGUAAAGGGCAGGUAGGUGGUUUGGUAAGUCUGUUGUGUAAGCUCCCGGCUUAACUGGGAGAGGUCAACAGAAACUACCAGACUUGAGUGUGGGAGAGGGUGCUGGAAUUCCCGGUGUAGCGGUGAAAUGCGCAGAGAUCGGGAGGAACACCAAUGGCGAAAGCAGGUACCUGGACCACUACUGACACUGAGCUGCGAAAGCUAGGGGAGCAAACAGG
Molecule: ribosomal RNA, 253 nt
Filed under: uncultured bacterium
Lineage: Bacteria
Description: partial 16S ribosomal RNA
Rfam family: Bacterial small subunit ribosomal RNA
Source: RNAcentral